AGGGGGAGUGCAGGAUCCUGGGCAGUGUCCCCCAGCACCCUGGGAUCUGGGGCCUGUGCCACUGGAAUCACGCUCGUGGGGCCCGGAGCCCCCU
Molecule: microRNA precursor, 94 nt
Filed under: Canis lupus familiaris (dog)
Lineage: Eukaryota; Metazoa; Chordata; Mammalia; Carnivora; Canidae
Description: mir-8799 microRNA precursor family
Rfam family: mir-8799 microRNA precursor family
Source: Rfam by way of RNAcentral